UUUCUUCAGACCAUCAUCUUCUCGACCGACAACAUCCAGAGGUUUACUUAGUCCAGAUAUUCAGAAUCCAAAACGGAUACCUAUCCCAACCUUGCAGUAUGUUAAGGAAAACUUUAAAGAGUCUGAUGUACAGUCAAUGCAGAUAGUUGAUGAACAAAAUGGUAGCACGCUACACUGUUCUCUUGGACACAAAAAUAGAGGUAUAUAUAUAUAGAAAAU
Eurytemora carolleeae is the source of this 219-nucleotide long non-coding RNA. RefSeq lists it as uncharacterized. The transcript is spliced from 3 exons. NCBI's taxonomy places the organism in Eukaryota, Metazoa, Arthropoda, Copepoda, Calanoida, Temoridae. The record is from RefSeq and is a predicted model, not a curated record.